Molecule: unclassified non-coding RNA, 336 nt
Filed under: soil metagenome
Description: partial contains 5.8S ribosomal RNA, internal transcribed spacer 2, and large subunit ribosomal RNA
Rfam family: 5.8S ribosomal RNA (bases 1-120)
Source: RNAcentral
GAUGAAGAACGUAGCGAAAUGCGAUAAGUAGUGUGAAUUGCAGAAUUCAGUGAAUCAUCGAAUCUUUGAACGCACAUUGCGCCCCUUGGUAUUCCAUGGGGCAUGCCUGUUCGAGCGUCAUUUGUACCCUCAAGCUUUGCUUGGUGUUGGGUGUUUGUCCUCUCCUUUGCGUUUGGACUCGACUUAAAGCAAUUGGCAGCCAGUGUUUUGGUAUUGAAGCGCAGCACAAUUUGCGAUUCUAACCGACUACACUUGCGUCCAUAAGCCUUUUUUAACUUUUGACCUCGGAUCAGGUAGGGAUACCCGCUGAACUUAAGCAUAUCAAUAAGCGGAGGA